RNAcentral lists this ribosomal RNA (200 nucleotides) under uncultured bacterium. Its description in RNAcentral is "partial 16S ribosomal RNA". It matches the Rfam family "Bacterial small subunit ribosomal RNA", at positions 8 to 206 of the family's 1533-position model. The record is from RNAcentral.
AGAGUUUGAUCCUGGCUCAGGACGAACGCUGGCGGCGUGCCUAACACAUGCAAGUCGAGCGAGUGGAGUUCUUCGGAACAAAGCUAGCGGCGGACGGGUGAGUAACACGUGGGCAACCUGCCUCAUAGAGGGGAAUAGCCUCCCGAAAGGGAGAUUAAUACCGCAUAAGAUUGUAGCUUCGCAUGAAGUAGCAAUUAAAG